RNAcentral lists this long non-coding RNA (605 nucleotides) under Linum usitatissimum (flax). Its description in RNAcentral is "long non-coding RNA (LUSI_LNC006007)". Lineage: Eukaryota; Viridiplantae; Streptophyta; Magnoliopsida; Malpighiales; Linaceae. The record is from RNAcentral.
UUAAAUAUUGAUUAUAAAAAAUGAACAAGUUGAAAGACAUAUCUCUAUUUAGAUUAUAGCAUGCUUCGAACCUAGACAUCCAGCCAACCCAUUACCAACACAAAAUUAGCCCUUACUGUACCCUAAGGUCAUCACAAAACAUCACGUUAAAAUCACUACGAAAACCAGCCAUUGUCGAAGUAAAAUAAGCCAUCAUUACUACCCCUAACCAUCACGAAAUUAUCACUAAGGUAAACCGCCAUUACACACAUCAUACACCAAAACUCACCCCAACCAUCCUACACGAAAUUAUCACAAACUCAGUUUUAUCACCGAAAUACGUGACUAACCGCCCUACCUAAAGCUCACUCAAAAAUACCCCAAACGCCAAGUACUGACCAAGGUUAGCAAAGUUGUGUCAUGAUCGUUCAAAUCUACGUACAAAAUUUAGAUGGGGCAUUAUUUCAAAAUAAGACAAUAACUUCGGAUCAGUUGUUUUGUAAAUUAGGUAUAAGUAAAAUGAUUCAUGUUCGAUAAUAUGGUAUUCUUGAGGUGCAAACAUUUGAGGCGUAAAAAUUACUUUGUUUGUCUAACACAAAUAAUGAGUUAUGGAAUUUGAAUGGAAG